This 842-nucleotide ribosomal RNA is filed under the name Staphylococcus pasteuri. RNAcentral's name for it is "bacterial SSU rRNA". It matches the Rfam family "Bacterial small subunit ribosomal RNA", at positions 62 to 885 of the family's 1533-position model. The record is from RNAcentral. Lineage: Bacteria; Bacillati; Bacillota; Bacilli; Caryophanales; Staphylococcaceae.
UCGAGCGAACAGAUAAGGAGCUUGCUCCUUUGACGUUAGCGGCGGACGGGUGAGUAACACGUGGAUAACCUACCUAUAAGACUGGGAUAACUUCGGGAAACCGGAGCUAAUACCGGAUAAGAUUUUGAACCGCAUGGUUCAAUAGUGAAAGACGGCCUUGCUGUCACUUAUAGAUGGAUCCGCGCCGUAUUAGCUAGUUGGUAAGGUAACGGCUUACCAAGGCAACGAUACGUAGCCGACCUGAGAGGGUGAUCGGCCACACUGGAACUGAGACACGGUCCAGACUCCUACGGGAGGCAGCAGUAGGGAAUCUUCCGCAAUGGGCGAAAGCCUGACGGAGCAACGCCGCGUGAGUGAUGAAGGUCUUCGGAUCGUAAAACUCUGUUAUCAGGGAAGAACAAACGUGUAAGUAACUGUGCACGUCUUGACGGUACCUGAUCAGAAAGCCACGGCUAACUACGUGCCAGCAGCCGCGGUAAUACGUAGGUGGCAAGCGUUAUCCGGAAUUAUUGGGCGUAAAGCGCGCGUAGGCGGUUUUUUAAGUCUGAUGUGAAAGCCCACGGCUCAACCGUGGAGGGUCAUUGGAAACUGGAAAACUUGAGUGCAGAAGAGGAAAGUGGAAUUCCAUGUGUAGCGGUGAAAUGCGCAGAGAUAUGGAGGAACACCAGUGGCGAAGGCGACUUUCUGGUCUGUAACUGACGCUGAUGUGCGAAAGCGUGGGGAUCAAACAGGAUUAGAUACCCUGGUAGUCCACGCCGUAAACGAUGAGUGCUAAGUGUUAGGGGGUUUCCGCCCCUUAGUGCUGCAGCUAACGCAUUAAGCACUCCGCCUGGGGAGUACGA